This 88-nucleotide ribosomal RNA is filed under the name Escherichia coli. Its description in RNAcentral is "partial 23S ribosomal RNA". The stretch from base 1 to 75 matches the Rfam family "Bacterial large subunit ribosomal RNA", at positions 2851 to 2925 of the family's 2925-position model. RNAcentral also lists the same sequence under 2 other names. The record is from RNAcentral. Lineage: Bacteria; Pseudomonadati; Pseudomonadota; Gammaproteobacteria; Enterobacterales; Enterobacteriaceae.
CGUUGAUAGGCCGGGUGUGUAAGCGCAGCGAUGCGUUGAGCUAACCGGUACUAAUGAACCGUGAGGCUUAACCUUACAACGCCGAAGC